This 253-nucleotide ribosomal RNA is filed under the name uncultured bacterium. RNAcentral describes it as "partial 16S ribosomal RNA". It matches the Rfam family "Bacterial small subunit ribosomal RNA", at positions 524 to 776 of the family's 1533-position model. The record is from RNAcentral.
UACAGAGGGUGCAAACGUUGCUCGGAAUGAUUGGGCGUAAAGCGCGUGUAGGCGGCCUGUUAUGCCGGUUGUGAAAGCCCGUGGCUCAACCACGGAAGUGCAGUCGGAACUGACAGGCUAGAGUGCCGAAGAGGGUGGCGGAAUGACCAGUGUAGAGGUGAAAUUCGUAGAUAUUGGUUAGAACACCGGUGGCGAAGGCGGCCACCUGGGAGGUUACUGACGCUGAGACGCGAAAGCGUGGGGAGCAAACAGG